Molecule: long non-coding RNA, 450 nt
Filed under: Mustela putorius furo (domestic ferret)
Lineage: Eukaryota; Metazoa; Chordata; Mammalia; Carnivora; Mustelidae
Description: lncRNA (ENSMPUG00000024241.1)
Source: RNAcentral
CAAAUGUCCCAGAGGCUGCCCAGAGCCAUCACCACCACCAGUAACACACAUUUACACUGAACAGUACCACUGCUUCUCUUUCUCUUAUUCACUAUCAUCCCUAACAGGAUUUUGACAACUGAUUUUCCCAUUAGAUCAUUAAGCCUGAGCUUUGACUUUACACUGACCUCAGGUUUAUAUGAACACUAUCCCUUUAUAUGUCAUUAUAUAUUUUUCUAAACCUUUUAUUUGAUUGCUCACAAAUCAGAACAAAUUAAAGUUGUCAACUUAGGAAGAGUUUGCUUUUGCAAUUGCUUCUGUGAGAAAAAGAAUGAGUUGGAAAUGUUUGAGGCAAAUGGAAGAGUAGAGAGUGGACUGCAGCACGUUCAACUCCUUUGCUGCAGGGAUGGAACAUGUUCUCUGCUGAGAGCUGUGCCAGCAGAUUUAGCUCCUCUACCAAUGGACAGAUGA